Molecule: long non-coding RNA, 3499 nt
Organism: Epinephelus fuscoguttatus (brown-marbled grouper)
Lineage: Eukaryota; Metazoa; Chordata; Actinopteri; Perciformes; Serranidae
Exons: 4
Source: RefSeq, a predicted model, not a curated record
UUUUGUUUUGUGUUUUUAUUUUGUAAAAUCUGAUGGAUGAACGUCCAGUUUUUACAUCAUUAUUAUUAUUAAUGACACAAUUUCAAUACUUUUAUUAAAUAUUACGGUUCAUUGACUUCCAUAACCUCUGAGCUCAGGUUGUUCAGAUUUUAGAGAUGUGAAGCAUUUGAAGAUACUUCAGGAAAUGACAUCACACUAAGCAAACAUACCAGUGUGGGCAGUGGAGGACCGUGUUGUCUUAAACGUAUUUGUUUCGUCUCUCUGUGAAACGUUCCAGUCAUAUUUGUUUUACAUUUUCGUGCAUCUCUGAAGCUGCAGCAGGUUUCUGCAGAUGGACAUAUUCUGGACUGUUGUAGUUUGGCCAUGUCGGCCACCGUAGUUUCCAGCUGAGUCAUUUAUCAGUUUGAAUAAACACAGCUGACAGUCAGCUGUGAGCGUAACUGAGGGUGUUGUUAAGGUGAAGGAUCAACGCUGAUAAAUGUUGGACAUGAGAUCAUUUUGUUUCUUCGCUGAAAUUAGUCAUGACCACGAUAACACUGCUUUUUAUCUGGAUCAUAAAAACAAAGACCUGAGGAGGACACAGCUGAGGAGGACAGCAGAGAGACUGUACCGAGUUGUUUCUGAGAAAUUAGAUAAGGUUACGUAACACUGUGACAUAAACACACACAACACUCAUCCCUCUUCUUGUACCUGCCUGCAGAGGAACGUCCAAAUAUGGUCAGACAGGUGUGACGACAGAUUAACAGACUUUAUUGUCCAUGCUGCAGAUGGCAGAAUGUUAGAGUCUGACGCCAGAGGAAGAAGAAGAAGAAGAAGAAGAAGACAGAGAAGGAGGACGAUGCUUCAGAGGAGGGCAGUGCUGGUUCCUGAGGCUGGGGAGGAGACGCCAAGAGACUCCACCGCACCCUCAGCAAGCUGGGCUUCAGGGUGGACAUCCACAGUGACCUCAGCGAAGACGAGAUCUACGAGCUGAUCCUUAAAGACUUAACACUGUCAUAUCAAGGCAAAACCAAAAUAAGAAAAGGAGUCAGCUGAACCAGCAGGUGUUGUCUCACACACACGUUUCCUCUGGCUCCGCCCUGCUCCUCACUGCUCCAGGAAAUGUUCACCCCGCUGCAUCACACCUGAACGCUGCAGCGUCUUUCACCUGUUUUGACUUGUCAUACCAGAGGAAUUACCGGUCGAACCAACAGCAUUACUGAUGGCUUCAUUCCAACCGAGUGUCAGAGUCAGAAUCCAAGAACCAGGAAUGAGUUUCAGCAUGUGUGCCUCUUUAUAAACUGAGCCGUCCUGAUUAGCUGAUCACAGAGUGGACUAAAACACUGUUAACAACUUGAUCGACAGACUCUGCAGAGGAAAACCUGUGAGCACGUUCAGUCUGCAGGAAGCUCCUGAAAAUGGCAGCAUUAAGAACAAGCAAGAGUCUAGGAUGGCUUCAUGAUUUUUCUAACUUAAAAACAAAACUUGAGAGACAUGCAGCUUCAUUCAUCUCAGCGUUUGACGUCAGUAAACCAAGGAUGAGACAGAUUGUAGAAGAGUUUCAGAAGAUCGUUGAUGAAGUGAAAAGGAUGCAGGAGACGAGAGACAAACAGAGAAGAAAAGGAGCUGUUGCUGGAGGAGUAGGACUCGGACUAAUGAUCCUUGCAGCUCCGUUCACUGGUGGGGCGAGCUUAUUGGCAGCAGGAGGACUAGCUGCUGCUGCUGCUGGUGGUGGUUAUGUUGUCAAGGCAAAUGUAACAAAAAUAAAAGGAGAGAAAGAAAGUGCACAUAAAGUCGAAGAGCUGGGGAAAGAAUUCAUGGAGAUUGUUGAAUCGCUGAAGAACAACCUGGAAGAAAUAAAGACGACGUGUGAAGAGCUGAAGAGACCAUCCAUGAAAGUUCAGGCUGCAGUCACUCUGUCAGACAUGGAGGACUUUCAGUGGAUUCUUACACAAGUGUCUGAGCUGGCUGAGACAAGUGGAGAAGUUUUGGAUGUGGCAGUAGUAGUGAUGGCAGUAAUGCGUGAUCUGUUAGUGCUCAUUGUGAGUGUCUUCAGAGUGACUGCGACCCCUGAAGAGGAUCAGCAGUUAAGAGACUCCAUCAUCCAGUCAGCUGAUCAGUGUCAGAAGGUCACUAAUGCAUUUGAUCAGAUGACGCAGAAACUGAGACACUUCACAGGAUGUUGGAGAUACAAGACAAGGUCUCGUUCAAUCACCAUGUGACGUAAUGUCUCAUCAGAUCUGCAGUUUGAGAUGAAGUGUGUAAAUGUGUCCGAUGCUGCGUGUCUGAACGAUCUCCUCGUGGUGGAAUAUGAUAUUUAGCCUGAAUAUGAUGAUGACUGUACAGAUGCUGGCUUUGAACUGAAGGACUGGUCAGACCACUUUGUGUCAGUCCAAACUCCACACAGAGGGGCUCCCCCACAGAGGGUUCAAACCAGGAACCGUCAUGCUGUGAGGCAACAAUGCUAACCACUGCUCCACCGUGCUGCAUCGAGUUCAGAAUGAAGUUUAUUAGUUUGAAUAUUAAAUAUCUUGUCUUUGGACCAGGUUGGAAUUGGGGUUGUAUGUAUUUUAUAUCUCACAUAAGUUUAUACACUGUGUUUAUAUUGUACCUGUGAUGUCAUCACUUCUACCUGCACUGUUUAUUUUGCUGACUGUAACUGCUGCACAUGUUCAUAUCUUAUCCAUAUUCAUAUCUCCCUCUGACUGUGAAUUCUAUAUACCGUAAAACUUCUAUUAGUAGCUUUGAUCUGCUUAUCACUGAAGUCAACAGGCCUGUAUUUGUUACAGGCCUAAAGUUAAUUCCUUUCACACAAAACUGUUGCUCAGCAAAGAUCAGGAAAUACGAUCAAACUGUUUAUAUGAACCAGUCUGAAUGUUUUAAUUAUGUGUCGUAUCACAACGCUUGUUUGACGGCACUCAAGGAUUUCGGCAUCCGACACAACAAAACUUUAUCCUCUUAAAACAAUAUUUAAUAUUUUUAUGAAACCCCCUUUUGAUCUGAGGACACUUACAGACUGGACGAACAUGAAUAACGUGCAGGGUGAUCCAGGAACAGACACAUAUUCUGACUUUAUGACAGCAACAGAGGAAACAUAGGGAGUCACCACUUGUUUUUUCAUCAUGCCGGUAAAUCUGAAAGAAUUUAGUCAUCCCUGGCGCUCAUGGUUUCAGUGAAAUGAACUCAGCCAACCUAACAAUGUGUAGCAUCUCCAUACUGGCAAAAAUUAUAUAUGUAUGCUUGCAUGUGUGAUCUAAACAGAUAACCAACAUUAGCUCAAGUAGGUAGCCAAAAAAUGUGGUUUUAUACAUCCAAAGAACUUUUGUCAACAAGAACUGCUGGUAGCCAGACCAGGCCUCUUAUUGAGACAGGCCUUUAUUUGUCUAAACGUGUCGCCACACCGGGCUGUGAAAGGGCGUGGGCAUUUAGUAAGUUUUACGGUAUUGUAUAUAUUGUUUAAUAUUUCAUUAUCUCAGUACAUGGACUCUUUGCAGUGACAUUAAAGUUGAAUUUAAUCUCA